GACGAACGCUGGCGGCGUGCUUAACACAUGCAAGUCGAACGGAAAGGCCUGCUUUCCCUUGUGGAUUGCGGGUACUCGAGUGGCGAACGGGUGAGUAACACGUGAGUGAUCUGCCCCCAACUUGGGUAUAAGCCUGGGAAACUGGGUCUAAUUCCCGAUAGGACUGCAGGGUGGUGCCUGUGGUGGAAAACGAUUUUCUAGUGGUUGGGGAUGAGCUCGCGGCCUAUCAGCUUGUUGGUGGGGUAAUGGCCUACCAAGGCGGCGACGGGUAGCCGGCCUGGGAGGGUGGACGGCCACGUUGGGACUGAGAUACGGCCCAGACUCCUACGGGAGGCAGCAGUGGGGAAUAUGGCACAAUGGGCGGAAGCCUGAUGCAGCGACGCCGCGUGGGGGAUGACGGCCUUCGGGUUGUAAACUCCUUUCGACCGCGAGGAAGCCACCUGGUUGGAAGGGUGGUGACGGUAGUGGUAGAAGAAGCACCGGCUAACUACGUG
Molecule: ribosomal RNA, 494 nt
Filed under: uncultured bacterium
Lineage: Bacteria
Description: partial 16S ribosomal RNA
Rfam family: Bacterial small subunit ribosomal RNA
Source: RNAcentral